CCUACGGGAGGCAGCAGUGGGGAAUUUUGGACAAUGGGCGAAAGCCUGAUCCAGCAAUGCCGCGUGAGUGAAGAAGGCCUUCGGGUUGUAAAGCUCUUUUGUCAGGGAAGAAACGGUGAGAGCUAAUAUCUCUUGCUAAUGACGGUACCUGAAGAAUAAGCACCGGCUAACUACGUGCCAGCAGCCGCGGUAAUACGUAGGGUGCAAGCGUUAAUCGGAAUUACUGGGCGUAAAGCGUGCGCAGGCGGUUUUGUAAGUCUGAUGUGAAAUCCCCGGGCUCAACCUGGGAAUUGCAUUGGAGACUGCAAGGCUAGAAUCUGGCAGAGGGGGGUAGAAUUCCACGUGUAGCAGUGAAAUGCGUAGAUAUGUGGAGGAACACCGAUGGCGAAGGCAGCCCCCUGGGUCAAGAUUGACGCUCAUGCACGAAAGCGUGGGGAGCAAACAGGAUUAGAUACCCUGGUAGUCCACGCCCUAAACGAUGUCUACUAGUUGUCGGGUCUUAAUUGACUUGGUAACGCAGCGACGACGUGAGUAGACCGCCGUCGGGUAGGUUGGNGGUCGGCGAAGAAGUUAAACGUUACGAAGAGAGUUAGACGGCGUUGAGACGUUGCCGACGGACGACGACGAGGGAGGAGG
RNAcentral lists this ribosomal RNA (636 nucleotides) under uncultured bacterium. RNAcentral's name for it is "bacterial SSU rRNA". The stretch from base 1 to 541 matches the Rfam family "Bacterial small subunit ribosomal RNA", at positions 338 to 873 of the family's 1533-position model. The record is from RNAcentral.